GACAGCUCAGUUGGUUAGAGCAUGGUUGCUGAUAACACCAAGGUUGCAGGUUCAAUCCCUGUAAGGGACA
Molecule: non-coding RNA, 70 nt
Organism: Podarcis lilfordi (Lilford's wall lizard)
Lineage: Eukaryota; Metazoa; Chordata; Lepidosauria; Squamata; Lacertidae
Source: the annotation of a GenBank genome assembly